This 253-nucleotide ribosomal RNA is filed under the name uncultured bacterium. Its description in RNAcentral is "partial 16S ribosomal RNA". It matches the Rfam family "Bacterial small subunit ribosomal RNA", at positions 524 to 776 of the family's 1533-position model. The record is from RNAcentral.
UACAUGGGGUGCAAACGUUGCUCGGAAUUACUGGGCGUAAAGCGCGUGUAGGCUGUUCGGAAAGUCGGGUGUGAAAGCCCUGGGCUCAACCUAGGAAGUGCACUCGAAACUCCCGAACUGGAGUCCCGGAGAGGAAGGUGGAAUUCUCGGUGUAGAGGUGAAAUUCGUAGAUAUCGAGAGGAACAUCGGUGGCGAAGGCGGCCUUCUGGACGGUGACUGACGCUGAGACGCGAAAGCGUGGGGAGCAAACAGG